RNAcentral lists this ribosomal RNA (389 nucleotides) under Kareniaceae sp. Its description in RNAcentral is "partial small subunit ribosomal RNA". It matches the Rfam family "Eukaryotic small subunit ribosomal RNA", at positions 582 to 975 of the family's 1831-position model. The record is from RNAcentral. Lineage: Eukaryota; Dinophyceae; Gymnodiniales; Kareniaceae.
AUUCCAGCUCCAAUAGCGUAUAUUAAAGUUGUUGCGGUUAAAAAGCUCGUAGUUGGAUUUCUGCCGAGGACGACCGGUCCGCCCUCUGGGUGAGUAUCUGGCUCGGCCUGGGCAUCUUCUUGGAGAACGUAUCUGCACUUGACUGUGUGGUGCGGUAUCCAGGACUUUUACUUUGAGGAAAUUAGAGUGUUUCAAGCAGGCAUACGCCUUGAAUACAUUAGCAUGGAAUAAUAAGAUAGGACCUCGGUUCUAUUUUGUUGGUUUCUAGAGCUGAGUUAAUGAUUAAUACGGACAGUUGGGGGUAUUCGUAUUCCAUUGUCAGAGGUGAAAUUCUUGGAUUUAUGGAAGACGAACUACUGCGAAAGCAUUUACCAAGGAUGUUUUCAUUA